GCCCAGGGAUGAGACCAAGGCGAAUAUGAGCUUACUGAAUGAGAGUUGGGUUCUUCUUUGUCUUGAUGGGCAGGUAAUCUUGGCAGUGCAGAGGAGUAUUCCUGCUCUGCUGUAAGGGCCUGCCUACAGUAACUUGGCUUGACCCACAUUAUUCCUUUAAAGUUACAGUGGAGUAACCAGGGGGAUAAAGCUGACAGCGCGCGUGUGUGUGCGCACGUGUACGUGUGUAGAGGCAAGAUUUACCCAGCUCUCGUCACUGUUCAGUCAGCUGUGAGUUGUUUCUUUGGUAAUCUGAGGGCC
This 300-nucleotide small nucleolar RNA is filed under the name Mastacembelus armatus (zig-zag eel). The record is from RNAcentral. Lineage: Eukaryota; Metazoa; Chordata; Actinopteri; Synbranchiformes; Mastacembelidae.